Molecule: unclassified non-coding RNA, 1888 nt
Filed under: Portunus trituberculatus (swimming crab)
Lineage: Eukaryota; Metazoa; Arthropoda; Malacostraca; Decapoda; Portunidae
Description: uncharacterized LOC123520230, transcript variant X1
Source: RNAcentral
UUUUUUUUUUUUUGCCUUGGCCAGUUUCCCCUUUUGCAUGAAAAAACCCCUCACUUUAGCAGGAGGGGAUGCCGUCUCAGAACAGAAACUCAGACUGAGUGAGUUUUCGCGGGCACCUUAGGGCCGAAAGCAAUGUUUUGACAGUCCCACGUACGAAGUUCUAACCCGGCGAGCCCGCAGGUUUAUCCCACAAGGAAACCUCCUUCAUUCGUCUCACGGUCUCACCUGUACCUUCCCUAAGAAGACGAAAUAACUUCCACGCCAGUGGAACAUCAAGACCAAGCAAACCACUUUUGCUAAACCAAAGACUGCGGUCUUAUCCCGUUAUUGGGCCAAAUCAACUCCACCGCAUAUAGCCUGAACACAUCAUCACCGCAUACCACACCUUUGGGGCACUAGAGGUUGUGACACACGGCCUGCACGGCCCCAACAAACCCCCAACAAGAAGAAGAAAAGAAGUCAGCACUCAACACAAAGUAAAACUAGACAAGAUGUGAAAACUAUCAUUGAAAUUAAUUGUAAUAUUCAGAGUUGACCUUUAAAUAAUGCGUUUGGUCAUUAAUCCCGAUUUUGAAACUGUCUAUUAGCAAAUAAUGCAGGCACUUCAAAGAAAAGCAUCUCGAGAAGAAUAUCUUUCUACAUUAAAUAGUUUCAAUAACUCAUCCAAUGAUAUCAUUACACACUUCACCAAAGAAGUUAGCUGGACAAAAUCUCUUGAGGGAGACAAGAUGUUAGAGAUGGCAAGAAACAAAAGAAUAUUCUGCUUCCAUAUAGGAAAAAUGUGGCACCUGACCUGCGCCAUCCUCCUGCCUCAGCUGGUGAGCUGACUGUGAAUUUCUCUAGAGAAGAAAGGUUGAUACUGUAUGAGCACACCUUAAAGAAUGCUGCCUCUGUGCCAACACCUCCAGAGCUCCUUCCAAUGGAUGUGAGUGGUUCUUCUGAGACUCAGCCAAAGGAGCUGUCUGGACUUGAACUGAAGAAAGCAAUGAGAGAUUUCAAGAGACGUCGGCAAGCUUACAGAACCAAAAUAUCUACCAAAAACAAAAGCCAGAAUGAGGUUACCCGAGAAAUUAUCGAUAACAUGAUGGCCUUGCUAGGUUUGCAAGAUCCAAAAUUAGACCUGCCUGGCACUUCAGGAAGGUUACAUGCCCAACAGUGCAAUGAAGAUUGUGAUAAUGAUUUAUAUACUUUAGGUAAGAGUUCAGGAUUCAUGACUUCAGUUUGUCAAGAUGCAAUAGAUUCACAUCAAGUGAAAAACAUAGAUUACACCAAACAUCAGGAACAGAAAACAAAGAGAAGUAAACAAAAGAGUCACAGCAGAAGUAGGAACCCAAAAGAGAGAAUAAAAUACCAGCAGUAUGACACUUCAAGUCAUGAUACUAGUAGGUUUUUAGAUGAAAGAAAGCACAGAAGAAUGGGAAAGAAAUAUGAAAUGAAGUCUGAAAGGCAUGAUACACCUGAUAGAUACCAAUCCAGAUCAAAAGAUAGGGGAUGGAAUCAAGGUAAAGAAAAGAAAAGAAAAAAAGAUGAAUCUGAAUACAGAACCUAUGAACAAAGAAAAAUAAGCAAGAAGGAAGAAAAAUAUGAGAAUGAAGAAAGGCACUAUAGGCAGGAGGCUUUUUCAAGUAGAUCCAAAAAAAGGGAAAGAAAUGAGAGUAAGAAGAGGAGUGGUGAUAACAAAAUGUAAGAAUUAGAUAAGAAAUUGAACUUGAUAAAGAAUACAGAGAAGUAGUGAAAUAUGAAACAUUAAUUGUAAACACAAUGGUAUCAGACAUUGUAAUGAAUAAGAAAUUGAACUUGAUAAAGAGUGCAGAGAAAUAAUGAAAUAUUAAGCAUUGAUUGUAAACACAAUGAUAUCAGAUUGUAAUAAAUAAAAAAAUUAUCAACU